Oryzias melastigma (Indian medaka) is the source of this 4080-nucleotide long non-coding RNA. RefSeq lists it as uncharacterized. The record is from RefSeq and is a predicted model, not a curated record. Lineage: Eukaryota; Metazoa; Chordata; Actinopteri; Beloniformes; Adrianichthyidae. The transcript is spliced from 3 exons.
GUUAUUUUUAAAUAUUAUCGUUCUUUUUCAACAUCAUCAUUCUUUUUCAAUUUUAAUCAAUCUUUUCAGUAUUAUCAAUCUUCUCUAUAUUAUUUCAUACCUAUCAUUGUUUCAAUAUUAUCUGUCUUUUCAAUAUUGUCAAUCUUUUCGAUAUUAUCAUUCUUUUUCAAUAUUAUUAAUCUUUUCAAUAUUAUCGUUUUUUUCAAUAUUAUCAUUCUUCUCGAUACUCUUUCUUAUUUAUCAUUCUUUUUAAAAUAUUGUCAUUUUUUUAUAUUAUCAUUCCUUUCUAUAUUAUUUCCUAUCCAUCACUCUUUUCGAGUUCAUCUUUCUUAUCCCUCGUUCUUCUGUCUUUUUAAAGAAAUCUAUCUAUCUAUCUAUCUAUCUAUCUAUCUAUCUAUCUAUCUAUCUAUCUAUCUAUCUAUCUAUCUAUCUAUCUAUCUAUCUAUCAGCGUUGCAGUACCUCGACCGUCCACUGAGUGACGCUGUAGCCCGCAACUUCAGGACUGUACCACCGGCCACGCAGCCCACCAGCCGGCCGCGGUCGCUUCCACGUUCCGCUUCCUCCAGGCUGAACCACCGCGCUCUCUCCGUGCGGGGUGACAGCUCCAGGGCCUCUCUGUCUGAACCGUUACUCUGAAAAAAAAAAAAAGAAGCUCUUAUCACAGGUGGGUGUGGGCCGCUCACCGCGUCGUUCUAAACAGAAAUAUAUUCAUCUUAAAAAUAAAAAAGUAAGACCGUGACCCAGAAAUUCCCGCUUUAAUCGGGUCACCGUGCUCGUUUUCAUCCCUUAAUGACAAUGGCACCUCUCACUGUCCCUUUCAUGAUGGAAGACUCACUUUUUUUCUCUCUGCCUUCAAACCUGUAGUCUGAAGAGGAAGCGUUUUCAGCUGGACAUCCUUUGCAUGUGUUUUCAGCCAUUCCUGCCUGGUUACAGCUUUUCUCUUUUUUAAUCUAUUUGAAGGGUUUGUUCUUGGUUCCACCAAUGCAAAUGUGGGCCUACAGCCAACUGGGAUGAAUUCUAGAGUAGAACCUAAACAGAUGGGAAACGGUAUAAAGGUGAAUGCAAGGUCAACCUGAGCUUUGGUGAUAUGGCUGUGGGCACUGCUCAUAGCAGUGUUUCAAAAGUUGACUUAAGAAAACAGAUUGUCUGGUCAGACUAAACUCUUAAGACCAUAUUGGGCCAUUUUUUUUCUUUUGUGUAGAUUGCCACAGGCAGGAGCAGCAGACACCAAAUGGUCAAAAAAUUGUUAACAUUAUGUUUGUCUGGAAACCAGCAGAACGGGGGUGUUGGUUUCCAGCGGGUGGGUUUUUUUUUUUCUUUGUCCCUCCUUUGUGAUUUUUUUCUUUAUUUUCUUAUUCUCUUUCCUUUGCUAACCCAGAUUUUUUUGUAUUUUCACAGCUGAUUUGUCCUGUGGGACUGAAAUGAACCAGAAAAGGUUGAAGAACUCUGCAUGCAGGAGCCAAAGGAGCAGGAGCAGCGCAGUGCAAAAGGAGGCUUAUCCAAUGCCGUGAAAGCAAAAGGUAAAGAAAGAAAGAAAGAAAGAAAGGCUUUCUGCAACACCAGCGUUUCCUCUGAAGGACUUCCCACUGAAAUCCUCACGUGUGGAUUAUUUCCACAUUAUUUGCUGCUGAAUUCCAAAAGUUCCUGUUGACUAGCAACAGCACUUCUGUCACACUGACUGUCUUGUCUAAAUGUUUAUGUGCAAAACGUUUUUUUUUCUCUUUAGAAAAUAAAAUACAUUUUUAAAAAAAGUUUUUUUUUUUUAAAUAAAAUCUAAAAGGCACUUUCAUUGUUGUGAAAAUAUUGUGAAUUUCCUUGGUGCUACUGCUUUCACAUUUAAAAAAAAAUAAAAAAUAAAAUAUGCUUUUAUUUUAUUUUACUUUUUGUGCAGGUGGAAAAUUGAAAAAAAAUGAACAAAAGAGAAGCAAAAUGGGGUUUAAAAAACAUUUAGCGUGCACCAUAAAAUUACAAUAAGUAAAUAUGUGAUAUAAAAGUGUGCUGAAUGAAUUUAUCUAUGGGUAAAAACCGGCUUGUCGGGAGAAGUUUCCCAAUGUUAUCAGUAGUUUCAGCUCAAGAAUACCUUGAGGUGUUUUGAGUGUAAAUCCGUCUAAAGCUGCCAGCACUGACAUACACAGCAUAUGCUAAAUACAGAUAAGAGUAUUUUUAAUAGAUCGGCAAAAAGUCUCCCACAUCGCUCAAUGGAUGUGCUUUGAAUGUAGUAGAUAAGUUGGCUUAAGCUGAAUGCUGCAUCCCAGCGCAACAUUGUGCAACUGGGUGAGCCCAUCACAAACUAGCCUUCCAGUAAAGACCACUUCCAGGGGAGGGAUUAUAGAAAAGCCUUCGAGAUCAGCUUCAUGUCUUACUAGAGUUUCUGAUUAUUAAUAGUGCUACGUGACAGAAAAAAAUAGGCGUUGGCGAGGAUCAUGCGGAAAAAUAUCUUAAGCCAUUUAUUUACCUACAAUGUCAAACUGAAAGGAGAAAUGAUCCUAAAUUUUGUUUUCUAACUUUUUCCUAACUUUUUAUUCUUAAACAUGCUCUGCUGAACUGGACUAUUUUAUCUUUCUAAAAUGGAUUAACUUUACCUUUUGAUUAUGAAGAGGGAAUUCUCUCACCUCCUGCUGAGUUACUUUAUUUUUAAAUAAAUAAAAAGGAAAAUAAAUGUCACGGUGAAACAAUUAAGAAAAGGUAGACGGGUGGGUAGACGGAACAGUGGGAUUUGACUGGUUUUGUUUCUUUUAGCGCUCCGCAGGUCAUCUGAUUGUGAGGUUUGAAGAAAUGAGAGGGGCUGAUAAGCCUCUUUUAUGCUUACAAGCCACUUAGAGAGCUGAAGCACCGACUUCUGUUGGAGGAAAACAAGUCAUUUGUGCAGGACGAAAUUGCUUCUCUCUAAAAUGUGUUCCUCUAAAUCCCAAUCGUGUGGCAUUAGUUACUUUGUUUAAAAUGUUUUUUUUCAUUCAUUUUCAUCCCCUAUUUUGAUGUUUUAAAUCACCGCUGAUGCUCUGAAAUAAUCUGUUUUGAUCUUCUCUGAAUUAUGUCAGAUUUAUUACUGCAAAGUAAUAAUCCUUAAAUAUUCUCGCCUUACUCUGGGCGCACUACACAAAUAAAAUAGAAUCCAAAAUUGCAUUUCAUUCAGUAAUAUGGAGAUGUCCUCAGUUCCCACUAAAAGUCACGAGGGCAUCUCUUCUCUGCCGUCUUAAUAAGGCAGUUCUGCAGGCCUCUACUGUAAUAUAUUUCCCCAAUAAUGCAAUUCCAAAGCCAGCCUGGCCUUUUGACCGCCACUGAGGAUGUGGAAAGCAGCAGGCCGCCUUUGCUAACUAGGCUUACUCUCUAAUAUUAGAUACCUGUCCCUUGGCUUUUCAGAGGGGGGCUUAGCUGUUGAUAUUUUCAUUUGGUCCUGCCAAGAUGCGACACCCCCGCUUUAAUCUUGUGUUUGACGUUAAGCGCCCUGUUCAUGAAGAGUCUCGGUGAACUCCAACCCUCCUGGUGCUGCUGUCAUACUAAAAAUGAUGUGGCGGGGUGCGGAGCCAGUUGGUGUAUCCUUGACCUCGCUCAUUGGUCUGCCAAAGUCUCUCCCCUGCCCUUCCUAAUCAGGUGGGACCCUCCAUUUGAGAGCGGGAGAUUGUAUAUUCUCUGUGUCCAGCUGUGUCUUUGGUGGCACAGGUCCCUUUUUUAUGGAAAGAAAAGGACGCUUUAUUUUAACAUGAAUUCCUACAUUUAUUUUUAAUAAUUUCUGAGCCUUGAAAUGAAGGGACAACUUGGCAGUCAGAGGAGUAAUGAAUUUCUCACUAUAUGAGUAACUACCGUCUCACCCAGCCUCCGUGUUUGCAUUUUUCGAGAUGUUGAGGACAAACAAGCCUCUUCUCUGCAAUCAUUAAGGAGCAUUUCCCUACUGAUUGAUGUGUGAAAUCAAUUGCUCCCCAUAGCAUCCAUGUCAGUCUAUUACCGCACUGCCUGGUAAUGACAGGCUGCUCUCCACAAGAUUAUAGAGCAUUGUCACAAAGCAGCAAGACUUGCUUUCCUUUGUCUGACCCGCUGCGUUUCAAGUUAAAAUUCCUUUAUUUUUGCUCUUUUUUUUGGCU